Molecule: ribosomal RNA, 305 nt
Filed under: uncultured bacterium
Lineage: Bacteria
Description: bacterial SSU rRNA
Rfam family: Bacterial small subunit ribosomal RNA
Source: RNAcentral
AUCCUACGGGGGGCAGCAGUGGGGAAUAUUGCACAAUGGGCGAAAGCCUGAUGCAGCAACGCCGCGUGAAGGAAGACGGUUUUCGGAUUGUAAACUUCUAUCAAUAGGGAAGAAAGAAAUGACGGUACCUAAAUAAGAAGCCACGGCUAACUACGUGCCAGCAGCCGCGGUAAUACGUAGGUGGCGAGCGUUGUCCGGAAUUACUGGGUGUAAAGGGAGUGUAGGCGGGAAAGCAAGUCAGAAGUGAAAACUAUGGGCUUAACCCAUAGCCUGCUUUUGAAACUGUUUUUCUUGAGUGAAGUAGA